This 498-nucleotide ribosomal RNA is filed under the name uncultured bacterium. RNAcentral's name for it is "partial 16S ribosomal RNA". It matches the Rfam family "Bacterial small subunit ribosomal RNA", at positions 30 to 523 of the family's 1533-position model. The record is from RNAcentral.
AUUGAACGCUGGCGGCAUGCCUUACACAUGCAAGUCGAACGGUAACAGGUCUUCGGAUGCUGACGAGUGGCGAACGGGUGAGUAAUACAUCGGAACGUGCCUAGUAGUCGGGGAUAACUACUCGAACGAGUGGCUAAUACCGCAUGAGACCUACGGAUGAAAGCAUGGGAUCGCAAGACCUUGUGCUCCUCGAGCGGCCGAUGGCGGAUUAGGUAGUUGGUGGGAUAAAAGCUUACCAAGCCGUCGAUCUGUCGCUGGGCUGAGAGGACUAGCAGCCACACUGGGACUGAGACACGGCCCUGACUCCUGCGGGAGGCAGCAGUGGGGAAUGUUGGACAAUGGGCGCAAGCCUGAUCCAGCAAUGCCGCGUGCAGGAUGAAGGCCUUCGGGUUGGAAACUGCUUUCGUACGGAACGAAAAGCCCUGGGUUAAUACCCUGGGGUCAUGACGGUACCGUAAGAAUAAGCACCGGCUAACUACGUGCCAGCCGCCGCCGUAA